AACGUAGGUUCCGAGCGUUAUCCGGAUUUACUGGGCGUAAAGCGUGCGCAGGCGGUGAUGUAAGACAGGUGUGAAAUCCCCGGGCUUAACCUGGGAACUGCAUUGGUGACUGGCAGGCUUUGAGUGUGGCAGAGGGAGGUAGAAUUCCACGUGUAGCAGUGAAAUGCGUAGAGAUGUGGAGGAAUACCGAUGGCGAAGGCAGCCUCCUGGGCCAACACUGACGCUCAUGCACGAAAGCGUGGGGAGCAAACAGG
Molecule: ribosomal RNA, 254 nt
Filed under: uncultured bacterium
Lineage: Bacteria
Description: partial 16S ribosomal RNA
Rfam family: Bacterial small subunit ribosomal RNA
Source: RNAcentral